Molecule: long non-coding RNA, 897 nt
Filed under: Cebus imitator (Panamanian white-faced capuchin)
Lineage: Eukaryota; Metazoa; Chordata; Mammalia; Primates; Cebidae
Description: lncRNA (ENSCCAG00000038253.1)
Source: RNAcentral
AGCAGGGGGUGACAGUACCCACAGGGACACUCGCCAACGUCUGGGUACAAUUUUGGUUGUCACAGCUGAGGGUUGCUGCUGGCACCCCAUGGGUCGAGGCCAGGAUGCUGAUCAGCAUCUCACUGUGCCCAGCGCAGCCCCACCGCAGAGAAUGACCCGGCUCCCGUGUCUACAGGGCCGGGGAGGAGAGGGCCUGAUGUUGCUCAGGGAGUAGCUGAGGCUGGGAGGACGCGGGCCUUGUCACCUGCACUCCAGCUCUACAGGAAAACGCCUCCUUCGACUGGGACCUUCUGCAGUGGAAAAGCCCCAUUUUUAAUUUUCUUGAGCUGCGGCUAGUGGUGCACGAUGUGGCCAGCGGGCCUUUGGGUGGCGCUGGGGUCUGGGCGCUGCGGCAGUGAGGAACAGAUGUUGGAGCAGGAGAGAUGGAUAAGUAGAGUCCAGUCUGCGUGUUCAAGGAAGUGAAGGGGCGAAGACUCGCCUGGUGCUGCCCACGCAGUGCCUGGCUCUUGCCACGUCUGCCCUGCAUGCACGUUUCUGCCAUGCGCCACGUGGAAGCAAAGGAUAGAGGUCAGCAUUCACGGGGGCAGACACAGAUGGCCCAGGCUACAGGUCCCAGCUGCCCAUCAGAGAAUGCAGCUUGGAAAGUACACGCUGAUGUGGCGGCUGAGAACCAACGCCCCUUUGACCAUGUGGUCGGACCUCUCUCGGAAGAAGAGAAACUGAGAUUUAGAGGAAUCCUUUGGGAAAACGAAACUGAAAUCUUACUCCCCCCCCGGCAGCCUCCUGGUGGCCACAGGAUAUGGACUUGGCCUUGGUUAAUGGCAUGUCAGUGGCUUCCACUGCAUGAUGCUUUUGGGGCUCAGCUCUGCCAAGGCAUAAUUGUGUACAAUAAAACCC